Molecule: ribosomal RNA, 253 nt
Filed under: uncultured bacterium
Lineage: Bacteria
Description: partial 16S ribosomal RNA
Rfam family: Bacterial small subunit ribosomal RNA
Source: RNAcentral
UACGUAGGUGGCAAGCGAUACUCGGAAUCACUAGGCGUAAAGCGCAGGUAGGAGGUUUGGUAAGUCUAUUGUGAAAGCUCCCGGCUUAACUGGGAGAGGUCAAUGGAAACUACCAGGCUAGAGUGCGGUAGAGGUAGCUGGAAUUCCCGGCGUAGCGGUGAAAUGCGUAGAUAUCGGGAGGAAUACCUAUGGCGAAAGCAGGCUACUGGACCGUCACUGACUCUGAUCUGCGAAAGCUAGGGGAGCAAACAGG